This 145-nucleotide microRNA precursor is filed under the name Paramuricea clavata. The record is from RNAcentral. Lineage: Eukaryota; Metazoa; Cnidaria; Anthozoa; Malacalcyonacea; Plexauridae.
GCCGGUUUUCCACUUGCGAAUUUUUUCGCGCGAAGCGAAUUUUUCAUUUGUCUUUGGCUUCUCAACUGGAACCAUGUGGAAUUAAUUGGAUAAAGACAAAAGAAAAUUCGUUUCGCGCGAAAAAAUUCGCAAGUGGAAAACCAGC